RNAcentral lists this small nucleolar RNA (256 nucleotides) under Penicillium steckii. RNAcentral describes it as "Fungal small nucleolar RNA U3". It matches the Rfam family "Fungal small nucleolar RNA U3". From Rfam's summary of the family: Small nucleolar RNAs (snoRNAs) are involved in the processing and modification of rRNA in the nucleolus. There are two main classes of snoRNAs: the box C/D class, and the box H/ACA class. The record is from Rfam by way of RNAcentral. Lineage: Eukaryota; Fungi; Ascomycota; Eurotiomycetes; Eurotiales; Aspergillaceae.
UUCAACUACAGUUCAAAGAAUCACUUUAGAGUAGACGUCCUCUUCUAAGCUCUUUAUAAGAGCCACAGAAUCUCCACCCUUGCUGAUGACUGCAUGUCCUCGAUGCCCUAAAGUGAAGCCUUUAGACUCCCGCCUCGACUGCUACGCGAUCGUCAGAUCUGUGUUAAUGUCCAGGGAGUGGUGAUGAUCUUUACCUGGUCUCGGCGUCUGACUUCGGUCGGCUGGUCCUGGUGGGUGUCGAGGAGGUCUGAAAGGU